Non-coding RNA from Paraliobacillus sp. PM-2, 75 nucleotides. The record is from Rfam. Lineage: Bacteria; Bacillati; Bacillota; Bacilli; Caryophanales; Bacillaceae.
CAAUCAUGGCAGUGAUGUUGUGAUGAAUUGUAAGAAGUCAGCAGAAGCCAUAGUAGUCCUAAAUGGAUGAAGGGC